This 125-nucleotide small RNA is filed under the name Rhizobium giardinii. RNAcentral's name for it is "Alphaproteobacterial sRNA ar35". It matches the Rfam family "Alphaproteobacterial sRNA ar35". Lineage: Bacteria; Pseudomonadati; Pseudomonadota; Alphaproteobacteria; Hyphomicrobiales; Rhizobiaceae. The record is from Rfam by way of RNAcentral.
AUCGGCCUUGCUGUGAGCGUCUGAGGAUGUUCGCGGGGCCGCAAGUCGCUUGAGACUUUUGACCACGGAUGUACUGGCACUGGAAUUGAAGUGAUGUGAGGAAGGUCGGCCCGGCCUUUUUUGUU